CCUACGGGGGGCAGCAGUGGGGAAUAUUGGACAAUGGGGGGAACCCUGAUCCAGCCAUGCCGCGUGUGUGAAGAAGGCCCUCGGGUUGUAAAGCACUUUCAGUGAGGAAGAACGCCUGGUGGUUAAUACCCAUCAGGAAAGACAUCACUCACAGAAGAAGCACCGGCUAACUCCGUGCCAGCAGCCGCGGUAAUACGGAGGGUGCGAGCGUUAAUCGGAAUUACUGGGCGUAAAGCGCGCGUAGGUGGCUUGAUAAGCCGGUUGUGAAAGCCCCGGGCUCAACCUGGGAACGGCAUCCGGAACUGCCAAGCUAGAGUGCAGGAGAGGAAGGUAGAAUUCCCGGUGUAGCGGUGAAAUGCGUAGAGAUCGGGAGGAAUACCAGUGGCGAAGGCGGCCUUCUGGACUGACACUGACACUGAGGUGCGAAAGCGUGGGUAGCAAACAGGAUUAGAUACCCUUGUAGUC
Molecule: ribosomal RNA, 465 nt
Filed under: Vreelandella stevensii
Lineage: Bacteria; Pseudomonadati; Pseudomonadota; Gammaproteobacteria; Oceanospirillales; Halomonadaceae
Description: partial 16S ribosomal RNA
Rfam family: Bacterial small subunit ribosomal RNA
Source: RNAcentral